Molecule: ribosomal RNA, 114 nt
Filed under: Pseudomonadota bacterium
Lineage: Bacteria; Pseudomonadati; Pseudomonadota
Source: RNAcentral
UCUGACGACCAUAGCUUUUUGGAACCACCCCUUCCCAUCCCGAACAAGACCGUGUAACAAGUCCGCACCGAUCAUAGUGAGGCCCGCCCUCGUGAAAGUAGGUCAUCGUCAGAC